UCUCCACACCUGCUGUCGCCCUUUCCUUAUCGGUAGCCAGAUACUGGAUCCCAGGGAGGACCUGAGGCUCCCGGGGAGACAGACCCAAAACGUGGGAGAAACCUGGACCCCUGAGUAGAGUCCCACUCCAUCUGCAUUAGUUGGUGACGGAGGCAAGAAGGUCCAUGGAGCCCUGCUGGCUUCUCUGGCUCACCUGAUAAUCUGUCCUGAUGAUGAAAAGAGCCUGGAGAUCAGCAUAGACUCACCCUGAGAGGCGCUGAGGGCUGUGCCAACCCUCAUGUUGUUACUUAUCCAUCCCUGUCACUAAAGGAAGGAAGGAAGCUGCUCCGUGAAAGAUGAUAAGCCAUUAGCACAACUGUGGAGGCUAAAACGGCUGGCCCAGCAGCCAGAGAACACAUCAGAAAUAAUGGAAUCAAUAUGCAAACCAAUAAAAAGGAAAACCUGCAGAAUGUAGGGACAGAGAGAAAGGAAAACGCGGUGUUGUCUAGACAUGCUUAUGAAUGUGAGCUUUGUUAACCGAAAGUAGAGAGAUGUUUUGCCUGCUGUUUUAUACCACAUGGCAUAAAGUAUAAAAGGGUAGCCACUUUAAAAUAAACAAGACUACAUUCAGGAUUGGCAUGUUGGGGGAAUAAAAGGAGGAUGGCAGAACGGGAAUGAAUGGUUUAACCUUGACUUCAUUCCCGUCUGCAUGGGUAUUUUUCUCUAGGCCAAAGCAAAUUUCUUACUUCUAGGCUGAUGUCACGCAAAUGAACAAAUAUGAAUUAUUUUAUCUUAUGAUCUUUCUUCCAUGGAGGUUCUGGGCUGCUCUACUUCUCACGGCUUGAGGGAGGUAUGUCGACAUUGCCAGGCCACAGGGGUGGACAUCCAAAAAGCUGACAGCUCUGGGCAUCAGAUUCUCUCAGAGUGCAUUAAGGAUUUGUUCAGUGGGGUCCGUUGUACCCUUUUGCUCCUGGCAAACCCCCACCUCACAGGUGUGAUGGGUGAUGGGAAAUGAGCCCUAGGUCUGGCCCAGACCUUCCUGGCACAGGCUGCAGGAAGGUUAGGGAGUUUGAGUUUGGUUCGGCCACUGGCUCCCAAGAAGAGUUCUGGCUUGUCCAGAGAUUGACAUCAACAGCAC
Long non-coding RNA from Callithrix jacchus (white-tufted-ear marmoset), 1117 nucleotides. RefSeq lists it as uncharacterized. The record is from RefSeq and is a predicted model, not a curated record. NCBI's taxonomy places the organism in Eukaryota, Metazoa, Chordata, Mammalia, Primates, Cebidae.